UCUAAGGCAGCGCCUCCUUCUCCCCAAGGUGGUCAGGACAAGAUCUUCCUGUCUGCCCGGCCCAGCGCUGUGGUGCCUCAGGGAGGAAACGUGACUCUUCGGUGUUACUAUCGUGGUGGACUUUACAACUUUACCAACUUCACUCUGUACAAAGACGACAGAAGCCACGUUCCCAUCUUCCACAGCAGAAUAUUCCAGGAGAGCUUUCUCAUGGGCCCUGUGACCCCGGCACACGCAGGGACCUACAGAUGUCGGGGUUCAUACCCGCACUCCCCCACUGAGUGGUCGGCACUCAGUGCACCCCUGGCGAUCAUGGUCACAGGAGUCCACAAAAAACCGUCCCUCCUGGCCCUCCCACGUCCCCUGGUGAAAUCAGGAGAGACGGUCAUCCUACAGUGUUCGUCAGAUAUCGUGUUUGGGCACUUCUUUCUGCACAGUGAGGAGAUCUUUGAGGAGCCCUUGCACCUUGUUGGAGAGCUCCAUGGUGGGGGUUCCCAGGCCAACUAUUCCAUCAAUUCCACGAUGUCUACCCUUCCAGGGACCUACAGAUGCUACGGUUCUGUCACUCACUCCCCCUAUGUGUUGUCAGCUCCCAGUGACCCCCUGGACAUCGUGAUCACAGGUAAAUAUGAGAAACCUUCUCUCUCAGCCCAGCCGGGCCCCACGGUUCAGGCAGGAGAGAACGUGACCUUGUCCUGCAGCUCCCAGACCUCGUUUGACAAGUACCAUCUAUCCAGGGAGGGGGAGGCAUAUAAACUUAGUCUCUCUGCAAUGCCAAGCAUCAAUGGAACAUUCCAGGCCGACUUCCCUCUAGGCCCUGCCACCCACGGAGGAACCUACAGAUGCUUCGGUUCUUUCCGUAUCGCACCCUAUGAGUGGUCACACCCGAGUGACCCACUGCCCGUUUCUGUCACAGGAAACCCUUCACGUGGUUGGCCUUCACCCACUGAACCAAACUCCAAAACCGGUAACCCCAGACACCUGCAUGUUCUGAUUGGGACCUCAGUGGUCAUGAUCCUCUUCACCAUCUUCUUCUUUCUCCUGCAUCGCUGGUGCUCCAACAAAAAGAAUGCUGCUGCAAUGGACCAAGAGCCUGCAGGGGAGAGAACCGUGAACAGCGAGGACUCUGAUGAACCAGACCCUCAGGAGGUGACAUACGCACAGUUGGAUCACUGCGUUUCCACACAGGGAAAAAUCACUCGCCCUUCUCAGAGGCCCAAGACACCCCCAACAGAUACCAGCGUGUAUACGGAACUUGCAAAUGCUGAGCCCAGAUCGCAAGUUGUCUUCUAUCCAUGAGCACCACCGUCAGGCCUUGAAGGGGUCUUCUAGGGAGACAACAGCCCUGUCUCAGAACCGGCUUGCCAGCUCCAAUGUACCAGCAGCUGGAAUCUGAGGGUGUGAGUCUGCAUCUUAGGGCAUCGCUCUUCCUCACACCACGAAUCUGAACAUGCCUCUCUCUUGCUU
This is an RNA transcript of Piliocolobus tephrosceles (Ugandan red Colobus), 1467 nucleotides long. It is a transcript of the gene named killer cell immunoglobulin-like receptor 2DL3, with no coding region annotated. Lineage: Eukaryota; Metazoa; Chordata; Mammalia; Primates; Cercopithecidae. The record is from RefSeq and is a predicted model, not a curated record. The transcript has 7 exons.